CCCUUAGAUGUCCUGGGCCGCACGCGUGCUACACUGAUGCAUACAGCGAGUACUCCCAGCUCCGAGAGGCUGCUGGUAAUCAGCAAUAUGCAUCGUGAUGGGGAUAGAUCUUUGGAAUUAUAGAUCUUGAACGAGGAAUUCCUAGUAAUCGCAGGUCAUCACCCUGCGUUGACUAAGUCCCUGCCCUUUGUACACACCGCCCGUCGCUCCUACCGAUUUCUAGUGAUCCGGUGAAUCAUUCGGACCGCGGCCCCUAGGCAUGCGGAAAGUCUAGUAAACCAUAUCACUUAGAGGAAGGAGAAGUCGUAACA
RNAcentral lists this ribosomal RNA (311 nucleotides) under uncultured eukaryote. RNAcentral describes it as "partial 18S ribosomal RNA". It matches the Rfam family "Eukaryotic small subunit ribosomal RNA", at positions 1470 to 1796 of the family's 1831-position model. The record is from RNAcentral.